UUUUGCCCAUGCUUAAAAAUACUUUUAUUUUGAGAUAUCUUAAACACACAGUUAGAAAAGAACCCAUCACAUAUCCCAUUAAAUCAACAUGCGGACCCAACUACAUCAACAUUUUAAAAGAAAGAAAACACAACUGAAACCUCCAUGUACCCUCCCUGCUUCCAUCAGCAACUCCUGCUCUAGGAAGGCAGAGCAUGGCUUUCACACAUCAUUCUAACACAGGAUUUUACACUCUUCAUCUCAUAUAACUUGAAUCACAGGAAAUAUAUUAUUGUGUAAAACAGUAACACUGGCUACCUUAUGCCAACAAUGCUUACAUGCCCGCCACUAUUCUAAGCAGUUUACAUGCAUUAGUUCAUUAACUGUCCCCCUCCCCCAUCACCCGGUGAGGUUGGCACUACUAUCUCAUUUUACAGAAAAAGUGAAACACGAGUAAGUUUAAAUAAUGUGCCCACAGAUACACAGUAUGUUUAACUUUACAUAAAUGGUGUGCAGCUUCUCCAGCUUUCUCUGCAUCAUUUUUGAUUCAUCUAUGUUGAAAGAUGUAACUCUAGUUCUUUCAUAUUCACUUACCAAAAACAACCUGUUCUUCUGCUGAUGGAAAUUUAGGCUUCUCCUAAUCUUGCUAUCUACACAGUACUGCAAUGAACAGUCAUAGACACAUUUCCUUCUUCAAAUGGAGUUACUUUAGGGUUUAUCCAGGAGUAGAAUUCUGGGUGGCAGAAUAUACACAAUUUUACCAGAUUUUACAUAUUGCUUGGCACAGCAGUUGUCACAAUUUCCAUUCCCACAGCAGUGAGUUCCCAUGUACCAUACACUUACCCACACAAGGGCUUCUAAAAAUUAGCCAACUUCAUGAGUAUAAGAUGAUCCACAUCAAUUUACAUUUCCUGCACGUUCUUCUCUACACUCACCUCUGCCUGGACUGACAGGUUCUGUCAGCAAGGGUGAGACCAACCACACUGAACACUUGCCUGAAACAUCUCCUGAUAUCCACCCCUCUGUGGAGUCCCAGCCCAUCUGGCUCCCACGAGCCCUAAUUUCAGUUCCUCCCAGGGAGUGGGAGAAUGCGG
Bos taurus (domestic cattle) is the source of this 1073-nucleotide long non-coding RNA. The record is from Ensembl. NCBI's taxonomy places the organism in Eukaryota, Metazoa, Chordata, Mammalia, Artiodactyla, Bovidae.